Molecule: long non-coding RNA, 2692 nt
Organism: Harmonia axyridis
Lineage: Eukaryota; Metazoa; Arthropoda; Insecta; Coleoptera; Coccinellidae
Exons: 2
Source: RefSeq, a predicted model, not a curated record
UGAAAAGUACUUAUUUCUUUGACGGUGAGUUUAUAAUACAUCCUUUUAUUUAGAUCAGACACUAUCACUAUCAAAACUUUGUAAAAAUUGUAUGUUAAGUUAUCAUGUUGUGAUUAUAUUUUUACAUCUUAUUUUCAGCUGACCUGAUGAUGGCCUAGUGCCGAAAUCGAUUGUCUUAGAAUACAAUUAUAUAAAUAAGUGUGUCUUCGAUUUUCUUUCCUAAUUCAUCUAAAUUUAAUUUCAUUUUUUAUCUGGUAGCCUAAAUAAUGGGUCAUUCUCAAGGAAUUUGUUUGUGAGUUUUGCACUCGACUUAUGUGCUCUCUCAUCACAGGAUCAAAAGACGAAAUCAUCUCAGACAGUUUUGAGAAAGUUUCCAUUAUCAUAUUCAAAAAGUAUUUCAGAAGAACCAUGGAAAGGUACUUACUUACCAUUUCAUAAAAUUUAAUUUAAUCACAACAAAAAACAGUUAAACAAAAUACAAUUACAUAAAAUACAAAUCUUUUCAAGUUUUAAUUAUCUAAGUAUUUAAAUUUAAACGUUGCGAAAUAAAAUAUCUAUUAUUUGGAUUACGCCGCCUCUCGCUGUUAAAGUGCAGCAAACAGAUUUUGGUAGUUUCAGAAAUUCUCCGCAACUUGUAGUAUUUUUCCAACAGAUGGUGUCGAAAGUGAGUUUCAGUAAUUCCCCUGACUAAAGGCCGUCGUUUCGGUAUUGAUGAUUGUUUAUGUUUACCAAUUUACCAUAUGUGUAAGUGAUAAUCGAAGAAAGGGUGCCUGCCGUCCGAUGCAGGUUGCUGGGUGCCCUUAAGCCCGCCACUCACGAAGCGUUUUUUCGAGACUUUGAACGCCAAGCGUCCAAGAGAUUCCAGUCGGGCAGUCAAGUUCAAUCUCUGAUUUACAGUUGUGCGGUCGUGUCCCGAGCUGCCCGACUGUAAAAUUAUCCGAACGCUCGAACAAGGUAGCCUCGUGAGUGGCCGCCUUUAAAGAAAUCUCGUGCCGACAAAGGCAUAAUUAUUAUCUACGAUUUAUUUACUCAUAAAAAAUCGGAUAAUAGCAAUCUGGCUAUUUCAUACCGAUUGCGACGUUCGGAAACUUGUAAAUUGCAAGAAAGAAGUUUGAAAAAAAACAUUGUUGGAAAAAUUUUAAAGAAUCUUGCGGUCUAUAUAAGAGGUUUUGGCGCCCCUUUAGAGUUGCGCCCGUGUGCGGUGCACGCGUCGCACGCGCGGUUGCGGGGGCCCUGAUUCUGUUAUAUAUAAUGCCGACAAAGCAUGAAGAAACACUUGUAAAAAAGGGAAAUUGAAAAUGUCUAUUAGGAUGAGAGUAGUUAAAUAUUGAAUUGGUAGAACAUCCUCUUCAUUCCCUAAGAGCAAUCUAUUGAUCGAACAUCAUUUGAACAGUUUCAUUAAAUUUUCAUUAUCUAAGGACACUCUAGCUCAAAUGGUACUCUGAAAUUAUUGUACAAAACGCUAUUAUCGUACAUGCGGUAUCGUACAUAGCACUGAGCAGAAAAUUAUCGUACAAAACGAUAAUUAUCGUAUGGACAGGCCUUUAGAGAGAAAUUCUGGCAUGCCGCAAAUGAAAGAGAGAGAUGGAGCUAGUUGGGUCAACGUCAAAAUCAUAUGAUCAAAACAUUGAACUCACAUUCAGAAAAUCGCUAAUUUUUCUCUCAUUCUGAAUUGAACACGUAGUUAACCUGAUUGAUUCGAUUUGUAAAAUUGUUGAACAUUCUAAUAAAAGGAAUUAGCUAGGUUAAUUCAUUUGCUAUUGCGAAAUUCAAAGCACCAAAAGAACUAAUUUUUAAAUAAAAUGCCUCACACUUGUGCAGCCUUCAAUUGCACAGUGAGAUUAGAAAAAAGCCAAAAUUUGAAAUUUCAUUCGUAAGUAUUUAUAUCUUUCAAAUCUUCUGACAUUCAUACGUAAAGGAAAUAUUUAUUAACAGUUUUCCAAAGGAUGACAAAUUAAGGGAACAGUGGAUGUUAGCUGAGGAAGCAUUGAUUUCAACCCUUCUUUCUUGUCGAAAAUAUGCAGCAACCAUUUUCAUCAACAUGAUUACACGGUCGCAGUUCCAGGAAGGCUUUCCGAGCCACAACUACCCCGGAUCAAUAAUAUUGUCCUUGGUAAUAUAUUAUUACCUUUGAUAUGGAUGGAAUGAAAAUGAAAAAAUUGUUUAGAUGAAUUUAUUUUAUUUUUAUAAUCACUAUGGAGAAUUCUCCAAUAUGUACAAAAAAUAUACAAAUAUUGGAAGAGGGCUUAGAGAAUAUUUACCUCAUUCAAUAAUAUUUUCAAGGUAUCUAUCUUACAGACGUCAAUUUUCGAAAAAGCUUUGUUGAAAUUUUGAGUUAUUCAUUUUGAUUAGGUGAAAAUAAUUGCCUUUAUUAAUUUCGAUGAAUAUUAUAAUUCACAUUUUAGUCAUAUAUAUUGAGAGAAUUUCUCACGAAAUUCUGAAAAGGCAUUUCGAAACAAUUUAGUUAGUGAGGAAUUUCCUAUUUCAAAUUGUCUCGAUAUACUGUUUCAAGUAGUUAGAUGAAAAAAAGAAAUCUAAAAUCAGUUUUACAUGUUUUUCCGAAAUGGAACUGUGAUUAGACAAAGCGGUUUAUGUAUAAAAGGACCAAUACACUCUAGUUACAACAGCUGAAAGUUAUUUGUCGUCCCCAAUUAGAUGAACGUAGGUAACAAUCGUGUUGAACGCCAAAGAA